CUUUAGCGCAGUAGGCAGCGUGUCAGUCUUGUAAACUGAAGGUCCUGAGUUUGAUCCUUGAAAG
RNAcentral lists this transfer RNA (64 nucleotides) under Monodelphis domestica (gray short-tailed opossum). It matches the Rfam family "tRNA", at positions 5 to 66 of the family's 71-position model. From Rfam's summary of the family: Transfer RNA (tRNA) molecules are approximately 80 nucleotides in length. Their secondary structure includes four short double-helical elements and three loops (D, anti-codon, and T loops). Further hydrogen bonds mediate the characteristic L-shaped molecular structure. tRNAs have two regions of fundamental functional importance: the anti-codon, which is responsible for specific mRNA codon recognition, and the 3' end, to which the tRNAs corresponding amino acid is attached (by aminoacyl-tRNA synthetases). tRNAs cope with the degeneracy of the genetic code in two manners: having more than one tRNA (with a specific anti-codon) for a particular amino acid; and 'wobble' base-pairing, i.e. permitting non-standard base-pairing at the 3rd anti-codon position. Lineage: Eukaryota; Metazoa; Chordata; Mammalia; Didelphimorphia; Didelphidae. The record is from Rfam by way of RNAcentral.